This 65-nucleotide transfer RNA is filed under the name Bhutanitis mansfieldi. RNAcentral describes it as "tRNA-Pro". Lineage: Eukaryota; Metazoa; Arthropoda; Insecta; Lepidoptera; Papilionidae. The record is from RNAcentral.
CAAAGAAUAGUUUAUUUAAAAUAAUAGUUUUGGAGACUAUUGAUAAAGAAUUUCUUUUUCUUUGA